Molecule: transfer RNA, 74 nt
Filed under: Sporisorium reilianum SRZ2
Lineage: Eukaryota; Fungi; Basidiomycota; Ustilaginomycetes; Ustilaginales; Ustilaginaceae
Description: tRNA-Asn (GTT) (tRNA-Asn-GTT-4-1)
Rfam family: tRNA
About the family: Transfer RNA (tRNA) molecules are approximately 80 nucleotides in length. Their secondary structure includes four short double-helical elements and three loops (D, anti-codon, and T loops).
Source: RNAcentral
GAUUCCAUAGUUCAGUUGAUUAGAGCGUAGCACUGUUAAUGCUGAGGUCGGUGGUUCGAGCCCGCUUGGGGUCG